GACAUGAGUAAGAAGUUUCAGAAUUAUUCUAUCCCUGUACAGAUUAUGUACUCUUUGAUUAUCGACAUGUUAACUUAGAUAGAUAUUCUGUUCAUUGAUUUUUAUAAAUGGUUAUACAAGUGUCCCCACUUGGAUAAUCAUGGCAUUUGUCCACAUGUUGAUACACCUUUGUCAAUUACCCGUAUAUAUAUGUUGAAUUACAUAUUAAUGUUGAGCAAGAUUAAAAACCUUCAGGUUCGGAACCAGGCAUGUAUGAACAUCCCUAUAUGGGAAGAUUUUUGCGCAAGGCGGAUAGAGUGAGCGAUGAAUUUCGUUCAAGUUAUGUAGUAUUGAUCA
RNAcentral lists this long non-coding RNA (336 nucleotides) under Panax ginseng (ginseng). Its description in RNAcentral is "long non-coding RNA (PGIN_LNC002819)". Lineage: Eukaryota; Viridiplantae; Streptophyta; Magnoliopsida; Apiales; Araliaceae. The record is from RNAcentral.